AUAAACGACUCUCGGCAACGGAUAUCUCGGCUCACGCAUCGAUGAAGAACGUAGCAAAAUGCGAUACUUGGUGUGAAUUGCACAAUCCCGUGAACCAUUUUGUUUUUGAACUCAAGUUGCGCCCGAAGCCAUUCAGCCGAGGGCACGUCUGCCUGGGCGUCACG
RNAcentral lists this ribosomal RNA (164 nucleotides) under Cirsium occidentale. RNAcentral's name for it is "5.8S ribosomal RNA". It matches the Rfam family "5.8S ribosomal RNA". Rfam says of the family: 5.8S ribosomal RNA (5.8S rRNA) is a component of the large subunit of the eukaryotic ribosome. It is transcribed by RNA polymerase I as part of the 45S precursor that also contains 18S and 28S rRNA. The record is from RNAcentral. Lineage: Eukaryota; Viridiplantae; Streptophyta; Magnoliopsida; Asterales; Asteraceae.